Long non-coding RNA from Gopherus flavomarginatus (Mexican gopher tortoise), 998 nucleotides. RefSeq lists it as uncharacterized. Lineage: Eukaryota; Metazoa; Chordata; Testudines; Testudinidae. The transcript has 5 exons. The record is from RefSeq and is a predicted model, not a curated record.
UUUACGAGUUGUGCAGGCCUGCUGACGGCAUUCGCGGGGCUUCUUGCUCGUGUGGAUUCUCUGAUGCUGAAUAAGGUGAGAGCUGCGAUUGAAGGUUUUCCCGCACUCACUGCAUUCAUAGGACCCCUCCUGUGUGUGGAUUCUCUGAUGCCGAAUAAGGUGAGAGCUGCGAUUGAAGGUUUUCCCGCACUCACUGCAUUCAUAGGACCCCUCCUGUGUGUGGAUUCUCUGAUGCCGAAUAAGGUGAGAGCUGCGAUUGAAGGUUUUCCCGCACUCACUGCAUUCAUAGGACCCCUCCUGUGUGUGGAUUCUCUGAUGCCGAAUAAGGUGAGAGCUGCGAUUGAAGGUUUUCCCGCACUCACUGCAUUCAUAGGACCCCUCCUGUGUGUGGAUUCUCUGAUGCCGAAUAAGGUGAGAGCUGCGAUUGAAGGUUUUCCCGCACUCACUGCAUUCAUAGGACCCCUCCUGUGUGUGGAUUCUCUGAUGCCGAAUAAGGUGUGAGCUGCGACUGAAAGUUUUCCCGCACUCACUGCAUUCAGGAGGGAGAGGAUAGCUCAGUGGUUUGAGCAUUGGCCUACUAAACCCAGGGUUGUAAGUUCAAUCCUUGAGGGAACCAUUUGGGAAUUGGUCCUGCUUUGAGCAGGGGGUUGGACUAGAUGAUCUCUUGAGGUCCUUUCCAACCAUUAUAAUCUAGGAUUCUAUGAUAGGAUCUCUUCCCUGUGUGGAUUCUCUGAUGCCCAAUAAGGUGCGAGCUGCGACUGAAAGUUUUCCCGCACUCAUUGCAUUCACAGGGCCUCUCCCCUGUGUGGAUUCUCUGAUGUUGAGAAAGGCCUGAUCUGUAAGUGAAGUUUUUCCCACACUCAGCACAUGUAUUUUUUUUGCUUUUCCCUGCAGAUUUCCUGCUGUAUUCUGGUUUCCUUAAGGCCCUUCUGAGUUCCCUGACAGGAAAUAAAUUUAUCCAUUUUCUCCCCUGGCUGGUUUCCCUGCUCUUUUUCUGG